AGACUGAUCAUAGAAGAACCUCCUCUUUAACGUGUCGUCCAUCUUUACCCUGUCAACGACGUCAUCUUUGGGCUGCAAGGACAAUUCCUGGAAGUUGAUAGCGUAGUUUCAUUAUGACAGGAACACAUUUGCAAAGAGGAAGCAAAAGUGUAAGCCAACAGUGGCAGAAAGGAGACGCUGACGCUAGUGUAGAAAGUGCACCUUCAUUUCCAGAGUUCUCUUGCGGACUUUCAGUUCCGUGACGGCCUGGUGCACCUCCAGCUCGGGGGCUCCUUGCUCCUUCAACCAGGUCACCAAGUCGCCCUCAAGAAAACACAAACUGCGCGGCUCAGUCUCAUGCAGUGCUCCAGCCCUCAUCCCACCCCACAUUCUGAUGAACAAAUGCAUCUCCGAGCCUCAUGAUGUGUGCAGAUUGGCCGCUGGUCUGAGCCUUGGAGGAGUACAACAGGAUGUCCAGGUCGGCCACAUUGGAGAACUUGGGGUGGACCUUCUCACUGGGGUCCACAAAGUGCUCGAUCUCAGCCAUGGUGAACUCUCUGUCGGAGGAAGGUACAAAAUUUAGUUAUUAACAUGAAUACAUUCAGUCCCCCUCCCAAUUCACUUGGAGGGGGAAAAAAAUCCCUCCAGACCCAACCAAGACAAAAUAUUAAUUUGAAUCUGCACCACAUUAUGCAUCUUAGAUUACCUUCUUUUUGAACAUUCCGACAUCCAAAUAAAGCACUUUUUCUAAAAC
Long non-coding RNA from Phycodurus eques (leafy seadragon), 733 nucleotides. RefSeq lists it as uncharacterized. The transcript has 3 exons. The record is from RefSeq and is a predicted model, not a curated record. Lineage: Eukaryota; Metazoa; Chordata; Actinopteri; Syngnathiformes; Syngnathidae.